This 485-nucleotide ribosomal RNA is filed under the name uncultured bacterium. Its description in RNAcentral is "partial 16S ribosomal RNA". It matches the Rfam family "Bacterial small subunit ribosomal RNA", at positions 29 to 506 of the family's 1533-position model. The record is from RNAcentral.
AUUGAACGCUGGCGGCAUGCCUUACACAUGCAAGUCGAACGGCAGCACGGGUGCUUGCACCUGGUGGCGAGUGGCGAACGGGUGAGUAAUACAUCUGGACAUGUCCUGUAGUGGGGGAUAGCCCGGCGAAAGCCGGAUUAAUACCGCAUACGAUCUACGGAUGACAGCGGGGUCACUUCGGGCCUCGCGCUAUAGGGUUGGCCGAUGGCUGAUUCGCUAGUCGGUGGGGUAAAGGCCUACCAAGGCGAGGACCAGGAGCGGGUCUGAGAGGACGACCAGCAAAACUGGGACUGGGACACGGCCAGGACUCCUAGGGGAGGCAGCAGUGGGGAAUUUUGGACAAGGGGCGAAAGCCUGAUCCAGCAAUGCGGCGUGUGUGAAGAAGGCCUUCGGGUUGUAAAGCACUUUUGUCCGGAAAGAAAUCCUUGGCCCUAAUACGGUCGGGGGAUGACGGUACCGGAAGAAUAAGCACCGGCUAACUACGU